This 77-nucleotide transfer RNA is filed under the name Bacillota bacterium. Its description in RNAcentral is "tRNA-Pro". It matches the Rfam family "tRNA". From Rfam's summary of the family: Transfer RNA (tRNA) molecules are approximately 80 nucleotides in length. Their secondary structure includes four short double-helical elements and three loops (D, anti-codon, and T loops). The record is from RNAcentral. Lineage: Bacteria; Bacillati; Bacillota.
CGGGAAAUAGCGCAGGUUGGUAGCGCAUCUGGUUUGGGACCAGAGGGUCGCAGGUUCAAAUCCUGUUUUCCCGACCA